AGUUCUUAUUUUUUUAGAACGCUGUGAUUGGCUCAAAUCAGUAAAGCAGCAAUCACAUUGCUUAUUUUAACCUUAGUUCAGACUGAUAUCAGCCAAAUAUCAACUUAUCUUACCUCAGAUUUCUUCGUAGCAUGACCUGUAAAAUAACCCAGUCCAGGAACAGCAGAGUGAUGUUCAUAAAUCACAUGUGAGGUUCAAAAUAGGCAUCCUCGUCUUAAAUUUAACAUAACUAUUCAUAUGCAUAAUCUAAUGUUUUGUGAGUUUGUGAUUUUCCAUCUAUUUCUGUUGUCUUAUUGUACUUUAUUAUACAUGAUCUUUGUAGGAAACAGUGCAUUCAUUCAGAGUUGUUUGACUUCCUGAAGGAUUUGGCAGAUCAGGAUCAGCAUCAGCAUCAGAGUGCAAAACUAAGGGCAAAAUGGCAGUCACACAGGAAACAGUGGCAAAGCGUGUCUAUCAAAGCCAGGUCAUUGGAGAUGGAGGAGCUGUCCCAGAAAGCCCCAAUGAUCUAGUCAGUGAUUCACCCAGUGAGUCUGAGCUGUUCAUCUGCUUGGAAACUCAUUCACCUUCACCUGGCUUUUGAAAAGUUUUACAACAGCGAACAAUGUUUUGCUGAAAACUGCAGUGUUAUUUAUGAAGACCCAGCAUCUUUUGGGAGGUGGGUGUCAUUGUUAU
Long non-coding RNA from Carassius auratus (goldfish), 672 nucleotides. RefSeq lists it as uncharacterized. The record is from RefSeq and is a predicted model, not a curated record. NCBI's taxonomy places the organism in Eukaryota, Metazoa, Chordata, Actinopteri, Cypriniformes, Cyprinidae. The transcript is spliced from 4 exons.